RNAcentral lists this ribosomal RNA (443 nucleotides) under uncultured bacterium. RNAcentral describes it as "partial 16S ribosomal RNA". It matches the Rfam family "Bacterial small subunit ribosomal RNA", at positions 338 to 795 of the family's 1533-position model. The record is from RNAcentral.
CCUACGGGGGGCAGCAGUGGGGAAUAUUGGGCAAUGGGCGCAAGCCUGACCCAGCAACGCCGCGUGAAGGAAGAAGGCUUUCGGGUUGUAAACUUCUUUUCUCAGGGACGAAGAAAGUGACGGUACCUGAGGAAUAAGCCACGGCUAACUACGUGCCAGCAGCCGCGGUAAUACGUAGGUGGCAAGCGUUAUCCGGAUUUACUGGGUGUAAAGGGCGUGUAGGCGGGAAAGCAAGUCAGAUGUGAAAACCAUGGGCUAAACCUGUGGCCUGCAUUUGAAACUGUUUGUCUUGAGUACUGGAGAGGCAGACGGAAUGCCUGGUGUAGCGGUGAAAGGCGUAGAUAUUAGGAGGAACACCAGGGGCGAAGGCGGUCUGCUGGACAGAAACUGACGCUGAGGCGCGAAAGCGUGGGGAGCAAACAGGAGUAGAUACCCGGGUAGUC